Molecule: ribosomal RNA, 492 nt
Filed under: uncultured bacterium
Lineage: Bacteria
Description: bacterial SSU rRNA
Rfam family: Bacterial small subunit ribosomal RNA
Source: RNAcentral
AACGCUGGCGGCGUGCCUAAUACAUGCAAGUCGAGCGGACCAAAGGGAGCUUGCUCCUGGAGGUCAGCGGCGAACGGGUGAGUAACACGUGGGCAACCUGCCUGUAAGACUGGGAUAACAUCGAGAAAUCGGUGCUAAUACCGGAUAAUAAAAAGAACUGCAUGGUUCUUUUUUGAAAGAUGGUUUCGGCUAUCACUUACAGAUGGGCCCGCGGCGCAUUAGCUAGUUGGUGAGGUAACGGCUCACCAAGGCGACGAUGCGUAGCCGACCUGAGAGGGUGAUCGGCCACACUGGGACUGAGACACGGCCCAGACUCCUACGGGAGGCUGCAGUCGAGAAUCUUCCGCAAUGGGCGAAAGCCUGACGGGGCGACGCCGCGUGAACGAAGAAGGUUUUCGGAUCGUAAAACUCUGUUGUCAGAGAAGAACAAGUUGGAGAGUAACUGCUCCAGCCUUGACGGUAUCUGACCAGAAAGCCACGGCUAACUACGUG